CUCAGGAUGAACGCUGGCGGCGUGCCUAAUACAUGCAAGUCGAGCGAACGGACGAGAAGCUUGCUUCUCUGAUGUUAGCGGCGGACGGGUGAGUAACACGUGGAUAACCUACCUAUAAGACUGGGAUAACUUCGGGAAACCGGAGCUAAUACCGGAUAAUAUUUUGAACCGCAUGGUUCAAAAGUGAAAGACGGUCUUGCUGUCACUUAUAGAUGGAUCCGCGCUGCAUUAGCUAGUUGGUAAGGUAACGGCUUACCAAGGCAACGAUGCAUAGCCGACCUGAGAGGGUGAUCGGCCACACUGGAACUGAGACACGGUCCAGACUCCUACGGGAGGCAGCAGUAGGGAAUCUUCCGCAAUGGGCGAAAGCCUGACGGAGCAACGCCGCGUGAGUGAUGAAGGUCUUCGGAUCGUAAAACUCUGUCAUUAGGGAAGAACAUAUGUGUAAGUAACUGUGCACAUCUUGACGGUACCUAAUCAGAAAGCCACGGCUAACUACGUGCCAGCAGCCGCGGUAAUACGUAGGUGGCAAGCGUUAUCCGGAAUUAUUGGGCGUAAAGCGCGCGUAGGCGGUUUUUUAAGUCUGAUGUGAAAGCCCACGGCUCAACCGUGGAGGGUCAUUGGAAACUGGAAAACUUGAGUGCAGAAGAGGAAAGUGGAAUUCCAUGUGUAGCGGUGAAAUGCGCAGAGAUAUGGAGGAACACCAGUGGCGAAGGCGACUUUCUGGUCUGUAACUGACGCUGAUGUGCGAAAGCGUGGGGAUCAAACAGGAUUAGAUACCCUGGUAGUCCACGCCAUAAACGAUGAGUGCUAAGUGUUAGGGGGUUUCCGCCCCUUAGUGCUGCAGCUAACGCAUUAAGCACUCCGCCUGGGGAGUACGACCGCAAGGUUGAAACUCAAAGGAAUUGACGGGGACCCGCACAAGCGGUGGAGCAUGUGGUUUAAUUCGAAGCAACGCGAAGAACCUUACCAAAUCUUGACAUCCUUUGACAACUCUAGAGAUAGAGCCUUCCCCUUCGGGGGACAAAGUGACAGGUGGUGCAUGGUUGUCGUCAGCUCGUGUCGUGAGAUGUUGGGUUAAGUCCCGCAACGAGCGCAACCCUUAAGCUUAGUUGCCAUCAUUAAGUUGGGCACUCUAAGUUGACUGCCGGUGACAAACCGGAGGAAGGUGGGGAUGACGUCAAAUCAUCAUGCCCCUUAUGAUUUGGGCUACACACGUGCUACAAUGGACAAUACAAAGGGCAGCGAAACCGCGAGGUCAAGCAAAUCCCAUAAAGUUGUUCUCAGUUCGGAUUGUAGUCUGCAACUCGACUACAUGAAGCUGGAAUUGCUAGUAAUCGUAGAUCAGCACGCUACGGUGAAUACGUUCCCGGGUCUUGUACACACCGCCCGUCACACCACGAGAGUUUGUAACACCCGAAGCCGGUGGAGUAACCUUUUAGGAGCUAGCCGUCGAAGGUGGGACA
Molecule: ribosomal RNA, 1466 nt
Filed under: uncultured organism
Description: partial small subunit ribosomal RNA
Rfam family: Bacterial small subunit ribosomal RNA
Source: RNAcentral